AUCUGAAUUUUGGGGAAUUCCCAUUGUGGCUCAGUGGGUUAUGAACCCGACUAGCAUCCGCGAGGAUGCGGGUUUGAUCCCUGGCCUUGAUCAGUGGGUUAAGGAUCCUGUGUGGCCGCGAGCUGCAGUGUACGUCACAGACGCAGCUCAGAUCCUGCGUUGCUGUGGCUGUGGUGUAGGUGGGUAGCUGCAGCUCUGAUUCAACUCCUAGCCUGGGAACAUCCAUAUGCUGUGGGUACAGGCCUAAAAAGGGAAAAAAAAUCUAAAUUUUCAUGAGCUACAUUAGAAGUGAAUUUGCAGAAAAGCAAGCCAGAGAAAAAAUUCUGUUGAUCAAUCAAAAAAUAGCAUUAAUAAAACUUUAUAAUUUAUUGCAUUACAUAAAAUGAGGACAUCAAAAAUGUUUUUGUGCAAUUUAUAGGUUUCUGUUAUUAUAUAUGUAUCAUUAUUACUUCUACUGUAUAAAUGAUAACAUGUUUUUAAAGAAAAAAUAUUUAUACCUCAGUACCUCUAAUUGAGCUUUUUCCCUGAAUUUGAGCAAGGAGCCCAGUAUUUUCACUUUGCAGUAGACCCUGCAAAUUAUGUGGUCAGCUCUGGUUAUUGGGUCAUUUUCUAGAGAAGCUGAAGAAUCCUAGAGAAAAGGCCUUCGGAUACUGGUGCUUGAGUAUUUUCCACAAAAGGAAGCUUUCUGCACAACCACCCUGGAGUGAAGUACAUACACACAUACCCAGAACUUUCAAAUAUUUAAGAUGAACAGAAUUUCAAAGGUCACCUUACACUGAAAAAUACUCCAACACAAAAGACAAAGACUCAAAGAAAGAAGCAAAAAAUAGUACUUGGCAAACAGACGAUAAAGGAAGCUGAGGAAAACUUAAAAAGAAACUGUUUAUAAUUUAGAUCCUUCGAUGUAACAAAAAUACAGCAUAUUUGAAAUAUGAAUAGAAUAUCAUUAAAGUUGAGCAGCAGAGCACAAGAACGAGGCUUGGAAUUAGAAGUUAACUUCCAGGUGUUCCUGUCGUGGCUCAGUGGAAAAGAAUCUGACUAGUAUCCAUGAGGACACAGGUUUGAUCCCUGGCCUUGCUCAAUGGGUUAAGGAUCUGGCAUUGCUGUGACCUGUGGUGUAGGUCACAGACACAGCUCAGAUCUGGCAUUACUGUGGCUGUGGUAUAGGCCAGCAGCUGCAGCUCCAGUUGGACCCCUAGCCUGGGAACCUCCAUAUGCUGUAGGUGGGGCCCUAAACGCACACACACACACACACACACACACACACACACACACACAUAUAAAUAAAUAAAUAAAUAAAUGGUAAUUUCCACAACUGAAAGUCAAUGGAUUGGUUGGAAAAUAAACUUAAAAAAACCUCCCCAAGAGCAGGACGAAGGGCAAAAAAGAUAGAUAAAAGAAAAGAUUAAAAAAUUAGAGGCCUGACCCACAAAGAACCAUCUUAAGCAGGCCUUCCAGAGGAGUCCCCCGGUUGCUCACUGUGUUAAGGAUCAGGUGUUGUCACUGCCAUGGUUUGGGUCACUGCUGUGGGUGCAGGUUCCAUUCCCUGGCCUGGGAACUUCCACUGCUUCGGGCAUGGCCCAAAACCGGGUGGGCAAAAAAGGAGGUCUUCCAGAAAUAAAGGAAGGAGAAAUGAUUGUUUUAUAAACAUAAGCUACUGUACACUCAGAACCGAAGGACCAGUUUCUAAAUUGAAAAUGACCACCAAGGGAGUUUCUGUCCUAACUCAGCCGUAAUGAACCGGACUAGUAGCCAUUAGGUCACGGGUUCCAUCCUUGGCCUCGCUUGGUGGGUUAAGAAUCCUGCGUUGCUGUAAGCUGUGGUGUAGGUCACAGACGUGGCUCAGAUCCUGAUUUGCUGUGGCUGUGGUGUAGGCCGGCAAUUGCAGUUCUUAUUCGACCCCUAGCCUGGGAACUUCCAUUUGCGGUGGGUGCAGCCCUGAAAAGACUAAAUAAAUAAAUCAGUAAAUACAAACUAGUUGAGCUUGGAGUUCUUUUGUGGUGUGUUAGGUUAAGGAUCUGGUGUUGUCACUACUUUGGCUUGGGCUGCUGCUGUGCCGUGGAUUUGAUCCCUGGCCCAGGAACUUCCACAUGCUGUGGGUGCAGCCAAAAAAAAAAAAAAAAAUUGUUGAGUUUGUUUGACGCAUUGUUUUGUUAAGAACAAAGUACAUAGGCAUGUACCGGUUAUAAAAUACAAAUUGUGUAAUUUCUGUGAUACACAAACUAUAGUUUGUGUACGCUUAAAUAAAUGUUCUUAUAUUUGGAUUUAAAAUUGGCAUUCUACCAUAUAAAAAUGAAUGGUAAAAUUUAUGACAACUUAUAAUUUUAAUUUUUAUUGACUUAGAGUGAUGUGACAUGGCCAAAAACCCCACCCCCAAAUGAGGACAAGUCAAGAGUAUCAUGGCAGAAAGAAAAAUCUUUAUUUUAGGGCCUUUUUUUUGUGUGUGUGUGUGUCUUUUGUCUUUUUGUCUUCUUUUGUUGUUGUUGCUAUUUCUUGGGCCGCUCCCGCGGCAUAUGGAGGUUCCCAGGCUAGGGGUUGAAUCGGAGCUGUAGUCUCUGGCCUAUGCCAGAGCCACAGCAAUGCGGGAUCCGAGCGGCGUCUGCAACCUACACCACAGCUCACGGCAAUGCUGGAUCGUUAACCCACUGAGCAAGGGCAGGGACCGAACGCGCAACCUCAUGGUUCCUAGUCGGAUUCGUUAACCACUGCGCCACGACGGGAACUCCUAUUUUAGGGCCUUUAUUGACAAUUUUUCCUGAUUUUUGAACCAGGGACUCCACAUUUCCAUUUUGCACUGAGCCCUGCGAAUUACGCCACUGGUCCUACACAUUAUAUGGUUUAGGGAUGAUUUCCUCAUGAAUUUCUAAUGUUUGCUUCAUUUAAUGACCUUUGGCUCAAGAUUUUUGUAAAAACUCCAUCCUUCACCCCUUCGUUGAACUCCCAUGCAACUCGGGUUUUGUGGUAGAAUUCCUGCCCUCACUGGGACUUCUUAUUAGAAUCAAGCCACAUAUUAGAGAAAUUUGAGAGCCGUUCUUCUUUUAUGGAACUUAAAAUUUGCUGGAAAUCCCUACUAUACAUUUUGAUCCAGAAAGAUACACACAUGCAUCAACCUUAUGAGAUUUUAAGUUCUGGAACAGCUGUUGAUGGGUUAAAUCUGGUCUGCCACCUGUUUUUGUACAGCCCCUGAGCUAAGGAUGGUUUUUAACAUGUUUAAAUAUCUGGAAAAAAAGAUUAGAAAAAUAAUAUUUCAUGAUAUGCUGAAAUGAUUGGCCAUUCAAAUUUCAGUGUCCAUAAAUAAAGUUUUAUUGGAAC
RNAcentral lists this long non-coding RNA (3312 nucleotides) under Sus scrofa (pig). RNAcentral's name for it is "lncRNA (ENSSSCG00000053096.1)". The record is from RNAcentral. Lineage: Eukaryota; Metazoa; Chordata; Mammalia; Artiodactyla; Suidae.